AGUGGCGAACGGGGCAGUAAGGCAUGGGUAACCUGCCUCUUGGUUGGGGAUAGCCAUUCUAACGGAUGAAUAAUACCCAGCGAUCUGACGACGGGGCCUCCCGAUGCCAGCAAAGAUUUAUCGCCGAGAGAGGGGCCCAUGUGGUAUUAGCUAGUUGGUAGGGUAACGGCCUACCAAGGCCAAGAUGCCUAGCAGGUGUGAGAGCACGACCUGCGUCACUGGCACUGAGACACUGGCCAGACUCCUACGGGAGGCUGCAGUCGAGGAUCUUCGGCAAUGGGCGCAAGCCUGACCGAGCGACGCCGCGUGUGCGAAGAAGGCCUUCGGGUUGUAAAGCACUGUCGAGGGGGAGAAAAGCCGCAAGGCCUGAUCUAUCCCUGGAGGAAGCACGGGCUAAGUUCGUGCCAGCAGCCGCGGUAAGACGAACCGUGCAAACGUUGUUCGGAAUCACUGGGCUUAAAGGGCGCGUAGGCGGGUGGUCAAGUCAGGGGUGAAAUCGUUCGGCUUAACCGGACAAUAGCCUCUGAUACUGGCCGUCUCGAGGGAGGUAGGGGCAUGUGGAACUUCCGGUGGAGCGGUGAAAUGCGUAGAUAUCGGAAGGAACGCCGGUGGCGAAAGCGACGUGCUGGACCUUUUCUGACGCUGAGGCGCGAAAGCUAGGGGAGCAAACGGGAUUAGAUACCCCGGUAGUCCUAGCCCUAAACGAUGGGUACUAGAUUGUGGGCUUAACAUGGGCUCACAGUCGAAGCAAAAGUAUUAAGUACCCCGCCUGGGGAGUAUGGUCGCAAGGCUGGA
RNAcentral lists this ribosomal RNA (795 nucleotides) under uncultured bacterium. RNAcentral's name for it is "bacterial SSU rRNA". It matches the Rfam family "Bacterial small subunit ribosomal RNA", at positions 94 to 898 of the family's 1533-position model. The record is from RNAcentral.